This 177-nucleotide small nucleolar RNA is filed under the name Prunus persica (peach). RNAcentral's name for it is "small nucleolar RNA snoR137". It matches the Rfam family "small nucleolar RNA snoR137". Lineage: Eukaryota; Viridiplantae; Streptophyta; Magnoliopsida; Rosales; Rosaceae. The record is from Rfam by way of RNAcentral.
GUUACCUUUACUAGUUGAACACUUCCUUGUCCUGGCGUAGACAGGGUAUAGAGGGCAGUCAUUGAGUAAGUCUCAAUGUUGCCUUCAAGUUUCCGAAGCAUAGAUCGAAUUGCCAGUAUUAAACAGCACCAUGCAUACUUUUUGGUUGCACUGUGUUACCUGUCUCCUGGUACAUGU